AGCCACAUCUAUAUCACCCUGCAGCCUAAGACUGCUUACUCACUGAAGCUUAUCAGGACUGAGACUGGUCAGGGCCUAGAUGGGAGACCACAUGGGAAAACUAGGUUGCUGUUGGAA
This 117-nucleotide ribosomal RNA is filed under the name Danio rerio (zebrafish). The record is from RNAcentral. Lineage: Eukaryota; Metazoa; Chordata; Actinopteri; Cypriniformes; Danionidae.